RNAcentral lists this ribosomal RNA (496 nucleotides) under uncultured bacterium. RNAcentral's name for it is "partial 16S ribosomal RNA". It matches the Rfam family "Bacterial small subunit ribosomal RNA", at positions 29 to 507 of the family's 1533-position model. The record is from RNAcentral.
AUGAACGCUGGCGGCGUGCCUAAUACAUGCCAGUCGAGCGAACAGACGGGGAGCUUGCUCCUCUGACGUUAGCGGCGGACGGGUGAGUAACACGUGGAUAACCUACCUAUAAGACUGGGAUAACUUCGGGAAACCGGAGCUAAUACCGGAUAAUAUAUUGAACCGCAUGGUUCAAUAGUGAAAGACGGUUUUGCUGUCACUUAUAGAUGGAUCCGCGCCGCAUUAGCUAGUUGGUAAGGUAACGGCUUACCAAGGCAACGAUGCGUAGCCGACCUGCGAGGGUGAUCGGCCACACUGGAACGGAGACACGGUACAGACUCAUACGGGAGGCAGCAGUAGGGAAUCUUCCGCAAUGGGAGAAAGCCUGACGGAGCAACGCAGCGUGAGUGAUGAAGGUCUUCGGAUCGUAAAACUCUGUUAUUAGGGAAGAACAAAUGUGUAAGUAACUAUGCACGUCUUGACGGUACCUAAUCAGAAAGCCACGGCUAACUAAGUG